This 253-nucleotide ribosomal RNA is filed under the name uncultured bacterium. Its description in RNAcentral is "partial 16S ribosomal RNA". It matches the Rfam family "Bacterial small subunit ribosomal RNA", at positions 524 to 776 of the family's 1533-position model. The record is from RNAcentral.
UACAGAGGUCCCGAGCGUUGUUCGGAUUCAUUGGGCGUAAAGGGCGCGUAGGCGGGGAGGUAAGUCGGGUGUGAAAUCCCUCGGCCCAACUGAGGAACUGCGCUCGAGACUGCUUCUCUUGAGUCCCGGAGAGGAAGAUGGAAUUCCCGGUGUAGCGGUGAAAUGUGUAGAGAUCGGGAGGAACACCGGUGGCGAAGGCGGUCUUCUGGACGGUGACUGACGCUGAGGCGCGAAAGCGUGGGGAGCAAACGGG